This 596-nucleotide long non-coding RNA is filed under the name Amazona collaria (yellow-billed parrot). RNAcentral's name for it is "lncRNA (ENSACOG00000007131.1)". The record is from RNAcentral. Lineage: Eukaryota; Metazoa; Chordata; Aves; Psittaciformes; Psittacidae.
ACACAGUCAGCUUUCAUGCUCCUCUCUUAUCUUCUCCUGCCAUGUAUGUAAUUAUCAAAAGUGUUUAUUUAGAAACUUCACUUGCUUGAGAUUUCUCUUCUGCAGGAAACGCUCAGAGCCAAAUGCAAGGUGCACUUAGGUGCCACCUCCCAGAGGUCUGAGCACCAUGCUGAUGUCUUCUGUCUCCAUAGCUCAAAAACUAGUGCUAUAAAGUGGAGCAAGACUUGGUGUUCACAGACACCCUCAGCCCAGGAGCAUCCGUGAUGAUUAACUUGUGACAGAGAUUGAAGAAUAUGUGGGUAUCUCUUCUCCUAUGAUCAGCUAGGAGCUGAUGAUGCUUCAAGUUUAAGCAUUUGGCAUGGAAGAUCAGGUGCAGGUGGUUGUUCAUUUGAUGAGCACUACAGUAAUUGUGGUUAUAGUGUGGCCUUGGGAACCAAUGGAUUUACCUGGGAGCAGAUCAAUACCUGGGAAAAGCCAACAAUGGAUCCUGCUGUCCCAACCGUUUGGAGACAGUGACUCCCGAACAUCUGCUAGCUUGGGAUACUCCUUGUCUGCCCAUCCUGUUCUGACCAAGGUCACACUGCUCCAAAUCUUUG